CACCUGACAUGAUGUACACUCCAGAGCAGUUAUUACUGUCAAAGGAGAAGUUUGUUUCCUGUAUACUUUAAGCGUUGGCCGGCUCCCUAUAUGAACACUGAGCUAAGUUCCAGACUCAGGUUAUAGGGCCCUGACGGCUUUUCUGAAUGUGUAGGCCUGGCAGGCAGUCUGAUCCCCUGAGUUUUCCACAAGGUCGCUGGUGAAUCUGAUGCUCCCGGUUGGGGGCCAUGUUGGAAAAGCCUGCCUGUUUCAGCUCACACAGCCCUGCCAGGGAGGGGGGCCACUCUCGCCCCGCUGUCCAGAUGUAGAGCCUGGAGAUGAAGAUCAAGGACCGAGCAGAGGGCAAGGGCUGGGGGCGGAGGUGUUCUGCCGACCCGACCCGCUCCUGGGGCCGCCUGGUCUCGGGCGUGCAGGUGGGCUGGAUCGCGGCUCCCGCCCCCGCCCCUCCACCACCCGCCCGCCCGGCCCGCCCUCGUGCUCCGGCGCCCGCACACAAAGCCCCUUUCACGGACUCGGGCUCGACUUCUGCUGCUCCGGAGUCACCUGUCUCAUCGCGUCCUGUUCUUUGUAGCCAUCGCGUUCCUAUGGAUACCCUAAGGCCCAAAUUAAAUAUUACAGAAUUUUUGUUUGGCAGAGAUUGCCAACAUUAAGCCACACAACUGGUAUCACAAGACAUUGGCAGGUGAUGGCGCACCAACCCCGGGGCCAGAAGACAAGGUCCUUCCAGGAGCUCCCCACACCUGCAGGGUCAUGCUCAAAGAGCACCACAGGUGACAGGCACGGUGUGACCCAGCUCUUGCCACCACUCCAUGGGCCGUCCACUGACUUGACCUGGCCACAUCCAGCUCCUGCUCACCACUGGGCCGUCCACUGACUUGACCUGGCCACAUCCAGCUCCUGCCACCACUCCAUGGGCCGUCCACUGACUUGACCUGGCCACAUCCAGCUCCUGCUCACCACUCCAUGGGCCGUCCACUGACUUGACCUGGCCACAUCCAGCUCCUGCCACCACUCCAUGGGCCGUCCACUGACUUGACCUGGCCACUCAAGCCACUGGUAUUCCCUAGGUGGGCCCACCUCUCACGACAUGACACAGGAAGGCAGACGGUCCCACGGAAGGAACAAAAACCUCUUCACCUUGAAGACACAGUUCAAGCAUCCCCUUCUCCAAUUUUUUCCUCCUGAGUCUCCAAGUGGAACAACUCCAUCAUUGUGGCCCUAUCCCCGCGUAUAGGCCUCUGGCUCAGUACGGGUAAACUGCUAUUGGUCUUCUUAACUUCCAAGUUCUGCACAGAAAUGCACAGGCCCUGAAGGCAGCUGGCUCCAUGAGCCUUGGGACAGAGAGAAAAGCUCUGAGAAGGAAGCUUUGACACCAGAAGGGAGUCUGUCUCCAGGAAAUAACAAAAACAGACUUACAUCAAGAGGAUCACUGGAUGGAACAAAACAAAGCAAAGAGAAAGUUUAAAAUUUUCUCAGAGAGUUAAAAAUAUGAAAAAGGGAGAUGAGAAUAAAAUUUAUGGGGCUACUAUGAAUUCAUGAUUUUUAAUUAUUUAUAUCAUCUAUCUCCAUCUCCCUCAAUAUUUCCAUAUAUCUUUAUCUACAGUUAUUUCCUUGCUCUGUCUGCCAAGAAAAGCCUAGAAGCAAUGACAUUCCAGUAGCAAUGGGCACUCAGCACCCAGAUCUUGAUUUCUUAAAAUCAUUUUCCAUUCAAAGGAAUCAAGAUUCCCUGGGAAAAAAAUGGCUGAUUCCACAGCUGGGGCUGGGAAGAUACACCUUAAGAACACCUUAAGCCAGAAAGUAAGAAAGUGUUUAAAAAAAAAAAAAAUGAAAGGGACAUAUUAAAAGACAUAGGAGCCUGCUAGAAAUCUGGGAUGGUUUGAGAAUCAAAGCAAUACCUUGCAACUUUGAGUAAAUAGGAAUCCAUUCAACCAUACCUAUAAACAAACAUUAAUAAGUAGGGAGGAAGAUGCUUUCCUUUAGAAGUAGAAUGUCAAACAAGUGUAGAAGAAACUAUGGAGUUAGAAAAUCACACUGAAUGAAGAACAAAGUAUGUAAUGACAUCAAAGUGUCCCCCCACAAGUAACUUGUUACUUACAAAGGGGAGAAGUCAACUUAGAAAGGGGAAGUCUGGCAGGCAUUAACUUAACCAAGUGAUCACAGAGCUAACGUCAAUAUUAAUGGGAUCAACUAACAUCACCUGCCAACUUAAGACACACACAGAGGACACAUCACUUCUGUGAUGUUCGCGCCCGACAUGCCAAACCCUAAUCUAGUCCAUGAGACCAAUCCAAUUUGAGGAACAUUCUACAAAAUGUCUGGCUGUAUUCUUCAAAAAGGCCAAGGUAAUAAAAGGAAAAACAUCUGAAUUGAGAGACACGUGUUAAGCAUGUAUCACAACUAAAUGUAACACGAUUCUGCAUCAGGAAAAAGGGAAUCACCGUAAGGAACAGCACCAGGACACCUGACACCAUUUAAACGGCGAGCAGGGGUAGAUGACAGCAUUCCGUCAGUGUCAGCGUGACGUCAGCAUUAUACUUCCUGCUUCUGACAAGUGGUUACGGUUAUAAAUUAUGAGACGAAGUCCUUUUUCUUAAGGAAAGGCUUACUGAAGUUUUGGGGUAGAGGGGUAACAAUAUCUACAACUGACUCUCAGUGAUUGAGAAAAUACAACAUGUAAAUACAGAUGAAGCAAAUUGUCAGUCAUAAUGCAAAUGGGGUAAAAUAUAAGCACUUGGUAAGUGGGAGUUCUUCGUGAUAUUCCGGUAACUUUUCUGUAAGUUUAAAAUCAUAUUAAAAUUCUAAAAGUUCCCAAACCAACCAGCAAUCCAACAACAAGGGAUGAGUCAGAAUUAUGGUACAGUCACUCUAUUUAAAAUUACAGAGCGUUACAAAUAAACAUCUGUGAAAAUACAUAACGAAAUAGAAAAAAUGCUUAUAGCUUAUACAGGGUUGAAUGAUGAAAGCCGGAUACAAAGUAUUUUAUGUGUCCAUUAUUAUAACUAAGCAGAGCAAGCACAUAAGUAAGAUUGGAAGGGUAAUAUCAAAGGUGGUAAUAAGGAUAUUAGGGGAAGGGAGAGACGAGUGACUUUUUCUUAAAAAAAAAAAAAAAAAGAAAAAAUCAGCAUAUUGAAAAAAAUACUUGCCAGCAUAGGCACUCCCUCAUCCGGCAGGUAUGCUGGAGAGUACUGGAGAUGAGUGCUAUUGACCGCCUUCUCUUGCCUCAGGCUGCCCCUCCCCAAACCUUGACACCUAUCCCUCACCCCAAGAACAGACACUGGGUCUGGAGCGCCCUCACAAGGGCAUCUGAGGGUGGUGGGGCUAGGAGUAUGAAGCUCCCCUGCAGGCAGUCUGCCAGCCCUGCCCCACACAGUGGCUUCAGUCUGCUCUGAGCAGCGAGCUGAGCAGCUGUGGACGCAGCUGAGGGGAAGCCCAGCAAGGGCACAUCUGAGACUGGGCCUCCCUGGCCAGGCCAGCACAGAGA
Molecule: long non-coding RNA, 3481 nt
Organism: Bos taurus (domestic cattle)
Lineage: Eukaryota; Metazoa; Chordata; Mammalia; Artiodactyla; Bovidae
Source: Ensembl